This 84-nucleotide transfer RNA is filed under the name Companilactobacillus nantensis. Its description in RNAcentral is "tRNA-Tyr". It matches the Rfam family "tRNA". From Rfam's summary of the family: Transfer RNA (tRNA) molecules are approximately 80 nucleotides in length. Their secondary structure includes four short double-helical elements and three loops (D, anti-codon, and T loops). Lineage: Bacteria; Bacillati; Bacillota; Bacilli; Lactobacillales; Lactobacillaceae. The record is from RNAcentral.
UGGACGCUUAGCGAAGUGGUUAAACGCAACAGGUUGUAACCCUGUUCCAUUUUGGUUCGGUGGUUCGAAUCCAUCAGCGUUCAU